AUGCUGCUACUGCCUGUUGACUACUGAAUACGUAAGUACGUACAGGCUUGAGUACGUAAUUGCAAGGAUAAAUCUACAUGGAGACACUUACAUAAUUGCAGGGAUAUUUUACAUAAUCUGCAGGGAUAAAUUCCAUCUACUCAAUAUAGAUUGAGGCCCUAUACAGAUUAACCUUUAAAGACUAUAACCAAUUCUGUUGCUUUUUACAACCUGCAGACUUGUGCUUCUUGUUUCUUUGAUGAUUGGAACCCAUAUUUUCAAUUACUUACAACAAGUCAGCACUCAGCAACCUUCAGCCUUCAGGUGCCUUCACUCCUUUUCUUUCAACCAUGCUGCACAAAAAACAUUUAUCUGGUUGUGAGAAAAGAAAAAAGAGGAAAAAGACAGAGAAGUCCAAUGAAUUGCAAAAGGGAUCUAUGCAUAGAUAUGUUGUAAGGAAAGAAUCUGCUGAUAAUCUUGAGGAACUAGAUGACACUUCU
RNAcentral lists this long non-coding RNA (479 nucleotides) under Hordeum vulgare. Its description in RNAcentral is "long non-coding RNA (HVUL_LNC011167)". The record is from RNAcentral. Lineage: Eukaryota; Viridiplantae; Streptophyta; Magnoliopsida; Poales; Poaceae.